Molecule: ribosomal RNA, 403 nt
Filed under: Fusobacteriota bacterium
Lineage: Bacteria; Fusobacteriati; Fusobacteriota
Description: Fusobacteria bacterium partial 16S ribosomal RNA
Rfam family: Bacterial small subunit ribosomal RNA
Source: RNAcentral
UGGGGAAUAUUGCACAAUGGUGGGAACUCUGAUGCAGCGACGCUGCGCGAACGAAGAAGGCUUUCGAGUCGUAAAGUUCUUUUAUAUGGGAAGAUAAUGACGGUACCAUAAGAAAAAGCCCCGGCUCACUACGUGCCCGCAGCCGCGGUAAUACGUAGGGGGCUAGCGUUGUCCGGAAUCACUGGGCGUAAAGGGUUCGCAGGCGGAAAAGCAAGUCAGGUGUAAAAGGCAGUAGCUUAACUACUGUAAGCAUUUGAAACUGCAUAUCUUGAGAGGAGUAGAGGUAAGUGGAAUUGUUAGUGUAGCGGUGAAAUGCGUAGAUAUUAAAAAGAAUACCGGUGGCGAAGGCGACUUACUGGGCUCAUUCUGACGCUGAGGAACGAAAGCGUGGGUAGCAAACAGG